AGGACAGAGUGGUAUGAUGGAUGAUAUAUGACAGUGAAGCCAAGCCAAGUGCUGAAUCUCUCCAGUUGUCAUUGCAUUGGUGUGUGGGGUCAGAUGUUAUCAUGCUGAAGGAGAGGCUGCUCUAUAAGUGAACAAACUCUUUGAAUUUAUGUUUUCAGUUUUCAGAGAGUUGCACAGUACUUUUCCGAAUUUAUAGUACUACCAGUAGCCAUGAAUUCCAGGUGUGCACCACAUCUUGAAUAUCCCAGAUGAUUAUGAGUUUGCUUGUUGAUGGCAUAGUUUGAACAUUUUGAUACAAGUUAUCUUUUGUGACAAAUUCCAUGGAUAUUCUCUUGCUUUCAGGAUUAAAAUGGUGUGCCCAACUUUCAUCUCCUGUGGUAAUAUUAUUUAAGAAUCCAUCACCUUCACAUUCAUAGCUCAGAAGUAAUUGUUGACUAAUGUCCAAUCUCUUCUGUUUGCUGUGAGGAAUGACCAUUUGAAGUGCCCAUCAUGCACAAAGUUUUCAGAAUUCCAGUUCUGCAAUUAUCAUCUGCACAUGCUCCCAUGAUAUGCCACAUUUGGCUGAUAGCUGUCCUAUGUUAUGCGAUGAUUCUCUCUAAUGAAUUUAUCAACAUGAUUCUGAUGUGCUUCAUCGAUUGCAAUACAUGUUCUUCCACUUCAUUCUUUGACACACAAGUUGAGAGUUGUAUCACUGUUUUUUUCAUUAUGAGCACUAAUAGCCCAACUACAUAGAAAUGAAGCACUCAAGGCAGGUGCAUUUUGUUAUUUAAUGUGGCCCCUUAAAGAACAAAAAUGUGCUUGCUUUUGAGUGCUUGAUUUCUAUGUAGUAUUAUAUGAAAGCAAGAAGUCUAGUUAAUUACUGGUUGAAAAUAACCCAAUAGUGCACAGUACUCAUGUCUAUGCAUUCAUCCUCCUGUAAACAGCAUUCUUUUUCUGAUGAAUGUCAAUUUGGAAGCACAUUUUCUGCAGUUAGAAACUCUCACCACACAUGCUUCAGAUGCAUUGAUAUAGUGUUGUUACAUGUUGCUAUAUUUCUGACUAUAACUCGGAGAUCUUUAAUGGCAGAAGUCUGAAAUGUAUGUCAGUGAAGCAGAAAAGUCUACUGAGUAGAAUGCAUGAUAGAAUACUCCAACAUAUGUUUAGAAAAAAACAAAAGUUAGGAGGUAUUAUUUUUCAGCAUGCCUAUGUAUUUAUAUAAUUUAGGUUUAAGUUAGAGAGCUGCUUCCCUCCCAAUGAAUAUGCAAUGCCAGAUAUUGCACUUUUAUUUAGUAGUACAUCUGAAUAAAUCAAAAUUAUAAAAAUUUUAUUAUGCUACAUCUUUUGAAGGUUUUUAUACUGUUGUUAGAUCUUUCAAAUAAAUUGUUGUAAUUAGAAAAAAUUAAAAUCCUAUAUGUAUUUCUGACUUUUGGUAAUGGAUUAGUGAUGCUUUUCAGCUAUCAUUUAAAAAUUAUUAAUAUAGUAUUGUGUGUAUGUAAUGCUAUAUACAUACAGGUAGUCCCUAGUAAAUGUAGAUUUAUAGUUAUGUAGAUUCCCUGACUAAAAUCAAAAAAAUAUAAUGAUUAUAGUGGUUAAAGCUGUAACAGAGAAAUAUGAGCUCUUUUCUCUCUAAUUUCAUCAUUUAUGAUUAUAUAUAUAUAUAUAUGCUUAUUAAAUUAGUUUUAAUUAAUGAGCUGGAUCCAGACCUCUCCUGAAAAUUUGAAGGUGUGGGAUUCUGAAUUGAAUCUGGAUCUCCAGGUUGGUAAGGGACUG
Molecule: long non-coding RNA, 1749 nt
Filed under: Androctonus crassicauda
Lineage: Eukaryota; Metazoa; Arthropoda; Arachnida; Scorpiones; Buthidae
Source: RNAcentral